CCUGAUCAGCCGUCCAUACACCAUAGACACACCCAAACCAUACGAGUCCUAAGCGUUGACGCUAUGUAUAUUCUAGUAAUUUUACUUUAAUUUUCACAGCAAGGACGGAGACGAAGAGACCCUAACCCUAAUAUGCUCUGAUUGGAUGAUGGGAAGCCAAGGCAAUAUCAGAAAGGAAGACGUUGUUCAAAAGCUCAAGGACGAUGGCGACUUUGAUAGACUCCGUCUCAUGAUCAUUCGCAAGCUCAAGGACAAAGAAGAGUUGCGUAACAGCAUUAUUUCAAUGGUGAAGCAGUCAGAAGCACUUAAUCAUGCAGGCAAUGAAAAUCUGAAACCCAGGCAAUUUUGUGAUGCCAUUUACAAAGAGAUCCAAACAGAGGCAAUGAACCACAUAUCUGAUAGUCUGUGGGAAAUAAUCAGAUCAGAUGAUGGAAAAAGUGAAAUUACCAAAACAGUACAAUCUGUCUACAAUAAAUUAGUGAAUCCGAAAGGGAAUGAAGAGGGCAAUUCUUCGUCUCCCAAUAUCUUAGCACAAUUUCAAAAUGGAACUGGCAAUAACAGUUUCCAGAAAGCCCCAGCCAGUGAAAUCAAUGAUCCAAUGUCUGAUAAUGAGCUGAAUGAACCACCAGGUUUCUCUAUGAAUAACACUCAUCAGAGCAACAGCCAUGGGGAGGAAAAAGGGGAGCAGCAGCAGCCUAUGCCUUCUGAAAGGGGACCCACUGAAGAACACAAGGAAGGGUCCAACCACCCACUGGAAGUUUUGGAGCCACAUGAUGUUGAUCAUGGUGUGCCACCUGGAUUUUCUGCAGCUAUGGAGAACAGUCAGCCAUGUGAUGGUAGCGAUGAGGACCCUGAUGUGCCUCCAGGAUUUGGUUGAGUUGUCUUGCAGUUUGUUUUGUCACUGCUAUCAUGCGCCGGUGCAUUUGUUAAAGGCUCUAGAAUGAAGGAUUCAUCCAUAUAAUUACUGCCACCACAUUUCCUUGUUCAUCCUAGAAGUUCAUACUGAAUCUUUGCAACUAGCAAUGGUCUCUAUAUACCCCAUCAUUGAAGGAGGUCGAUGAUGUCAUGUAACAAUCUUUGUGUUUUUAAGUGAGCCAUCUUACCUCAUGGAAAGUUCAGUCCUUCGUUUUCUCCAUCUCCCGUUGUCUCUUUGGCUUAUUUCUUUCUACGCUUUUGCCUGGUUCAGACAAUUCGGUCUGUAAAUGAAGAUAAUGAGAUAAAGGAGGCAUCGCAGAUUAACUGAUCAUGUAAGCAAGGAUUUCUGCUCGUCUUCUGCAUUCUCAUUAAUCCACUCCUCACUUGAACAUAAUGGAGAUUGGACUCCCAACAGAGUGUUUGCCAGAAACCCAUUUGAGAUAUCCUUGAGCAAAUUUGCUGCUUUUCCCGCUGGAGCUAUUGUGGCUGAAUGUCACUGAAUACGUCAGCUUCUGGUUCACCUUAGAGAAGUAAAGCUUAUCAGGAUUGACACUCACAUCAACUCCUUGUGGUACAAUCGCCGUUACGGUGUAAGAUGAAUAGGCCUCACCAACAUUUGUCACAGUCCGUGUCAAAGUCUGAGGUGGUCCCAGUGCAACAGAAAAUGAAGGGUAGUUUAGCUCUCCUUCAGGAAUGCUUGAUUCUUCUGAGCAUUUGAUGGAUCGAUGUGCAAGGAUCCCAACUUCAGUAUCUGUGUAGCCCAGGCCACAUAAAUAAGGUAUAUAGUCAUCAGGUUCGAUAUCAUAAACCAAGCCUGGAUCAUUUGCUCUUGAUGGGUUAACAUGACCUGCGCCAGUAGCAAAUAUGUCUGCAGGAAGAAGUCUUUCAUCGAGAAUGGGUUUUCCCCCAACGUUUAGUAGAUCAGCGGUAGUCAUUAUGGCAGAUUUAAUGGCAGCUGGUGACCAAUCCGGAUGAGAGCUCUUGAGCAAAGCUGCAAUGCCACUAAGAUGAGGGCAGGACAUUGAUGUGCCAGAGAUUAUGUUGAAUGUGGAUUUUGAAUUUAUGUUAUUGUCAAGAGGGAAGGGCCAUGCAGCUAGAAUGCUCACCCCAGGCCCAAUAAUAUCUGGUUUCAGAAUUCCUGGACUUGCAAAGCUGGGGCCUCUGGAAGAGAAGGAAGUAAUAGCGGGAGACAAUGGGUUGCCAAUUACAGUUCCUUUAAACAAGAUUGCUGCUGUUGGUGUUGCGGUUGAGUUUAUAUAGGCUUUAAUCUUCAGUCCUGCAGCGUAGCUCACAUGUGUUGCAGGAAGUACAUGGGCAUCAGCUAAGGUGCUGAAGCCAUCACUUUCUUGGUUCACGAGAAUCAUGGCAGCACCACCAGCAUUUUUCACUUCCGUCCCUUUGUCAAUUCUGGCUAUUCCCCCACCUCUGUCACACAGCACUACCUUCCCCUUGACAUCAAUAUUUUUCAAGGAUCCCUCUCCACAUACUGCAGACUCUGGUUUACCAUUCAUUCCAGCAUAAACGAGAGGCAAUUGUGUUGCUGGGAAGUCACUGGGCUGGAAAAGGGUUUCACCAUCAAAUUGUUCCCCAUUUCCAAGUUUUGCAGCAGCUUUGAUGGUUCUAUCAAUGGAACUGGCUCCAACAGUGAGAAUCCAUGGGGCUUCGUUAGAUAGAGUGGUGUUGAAAGGGCCAGAAUUCCCAGCUGAACAGCUCACAAAAAUUCCCUUUUGCAUUGCUGCAAAUGAGCCCACUGCUAUAUUGUCCUGGAAAAAUGGAACUGCAGGAUCACCUAAAGAGAUUGAGAUCACGUCAACACCAUCUUCAACAGCAGCAUCAAGUCCAGCUAUUACAUCACUUUCUGGGCAAUCUGGUCCAAAGCACACCUUGUAUAUUGCCAAGUGAGCGUAAGGUGCCAUCCCAACUGCCGUGCCCUUGGCAUUUCCAAGCACAUCAGCAUUCUUCACAAAUGCGCCAGCAGCUGUGCUUGCCGUAUGGGUACCAUGCCCAUCAUCAUCAAGUGGUGGCUCAGCUGUCACUCCCUUUGUGGCCUUGGCCCCGACAUUGAAAGACCUUGCACCAAUUAGUUUGUUGUUACAUUCUGAUGCCAUGAACUCACAGCUUCCUUUCCAUUUAGCUGGUGGAGGUGGAAUUCCUUCACCGCUAAAUGAAGGAUGGCUAGGCAACACUCCAGAGUCCAAUACUCCAAUGAUCACCCCCUUUCCGAAAUUUGAUUCUUUCCAGAAGCCCAUUUCCUGGUGCAACCCUAGGAAAUCGGGUGAAUGCGUUGUUAGUAGAGGCAACAUCUUUUCUGGACGUGCUGAGAUGAACCCGUCCUUAUUUUCCAUAGCUCUGACUUCUUCCUCCGUCAGUCUGGCUGCAAAACCACUGAUCACAUUUUUGUAUGAAUAAACCAGGCGUUCCUGGUUGUCUGAAGUGGCAGUGGCCACUGGCAAAAAUGACCGAUGCCAACUCUCUAGAUUCUCUUGUUGGGCAGUGGUGCUCCUUUCCAGCUGCUUAACGUGGACAAUGUAAGUUUGCAACUUGCUCUUCUCAGUUGUUUCAAUUGAGGAUGAAAAUUGAUUUCCCUGAGCAAUCUCAGGAGAGAUGUAAAGCAUAAAAACUAUAGUGAGGAAACGGAAAAUGGCCAUGUUUAAUGGCAACCCACUCUUCAUAAGUAGAGUGGAGAGAUGCAGUGAUCUGUGUUUCUGUAACGGGUUGCUUCGUGUACAUAUAUACGGAAGAGGGAGAGAGAAAUGGCCGGCAUAUUCAUAAGAGUUUCUCAGUGUGGGUUAAGUGUACGUUAAUGCCUACAUUAGCUUACCUAUUUGGAGUAUAAUGUCUACAAUAGCUUCAAUAGAUUCCAUAACUGUUAAGGACGGCAACUGAGGAUUGUGGCCAGUGUUUGUUUAGGGGACUUGGUCUAACUUGUCUUGCCACAUUUGUCCAGUUACAAUCGUUUGCAUCAAGUUUCACUACAUUGCUGGGAAAUGGGAGGGUUAUUUUAGAAAUCUCAUUCCAGUUAUUAUGCUAGAAACGUUAAACAGGUAGGAGACAAUAAUUCCAAGAGUGUUUCCGCUUUUGAAUUUCCAUCAUAUAGACUAUAAUACAAACUGAUAUUGGAACAUGGAAGGUUUGUUCUUAAAUAUUUUGUACAUAAGAUGUGUCAUCCUAUCUUGUAGUUGCACUUGAUAUUUCUAUUUGGACGUAAUGUGGGGAUCUACUUCGAGAAAUAGUUGGCUCUUUUCAGUC
Vitis riparia (riverbank grape) is the source of this 4164-nucleotide RNA transcript. RefSeq lists it as uncharacterized. The record is from RefSeq and is a predicted model, not a curated record. The transcript is spliced from 5 exons. NCBI's taxonomy places the organism in Eukaryota, Viridiplantae, Streptophyta, Magnoliopsida, Vitales, Vitaceae.